RNAcentral lists this ribosomal RNA (423 nucleotides) under uncultured bacterium. Its description in RNAcentral is "bacterial SSU rRNA". It matches the Rfam family "Bacterial small subunit ribosomal RNA", at positions 207 to 622 of the family's 1533-position model. The record is from RNAcentral.
AAGACCUUGCGCUUUUGGAGCGGCCGAUGUCUGAUUAGCUAGUUGGUGGGGUAAUGGCCUACCAAAGCUUCGAUCAGUAGCUGGUCUGAGAGGACGGCCAGCCACACUGGGGCUGAGACACGGCCCAGACUCCUACGGGAGGCAGCAGUGGGGAAUUUUGGACAAUGGGCGCAAGCCUGAUCCAGCCAUGCCGCGUGAGUGAAGAAGGCCUUCGGGUUGUAAAGCUCUUUCAGCCGGGAAGAAAAGGCUGCGACUAAUAAUCGCAGUUCAUGACGGUACCGGAAGAAGAAGCACCGGCUAACUACGUGCCAGCAGCCGCGGUAAUACGUAGGGUGCGAGCGUUAAUCGGAAUUACUGGGCGUAAAGGGUGCGCAGGCGGUUUUGUAAGUCAGAUGUGAAAUCCCCGGGCUUAACCUGGGAACU